CUUCCUCAUAAGACGUUAAAAGUGUGGAGUUUGAGGGAGCUGGAUCAGUGGACCUUUACUCACAGUCAGUGACUUUCAGCUUUAUUUAAAGCUUAAAUUUACCUCUUGUGGUCAAGUUUUGAACUCAGCUUCUGUUUUGUGUUUUAGCUCAGACAUUUAGAAAUACUAAGAGUCAGAUCAGCAGGAGGAUAAAACAUAGAAAUGUCUGCAGUAACUUUGUUGCUCUGCUUGACUUUCCUGUUUAUCUGCGUCUUCGUGUUUGUCUCUGCAGAGCAUAAAGUCAUCACAGCUGACUCUGGACGGGAUGUCACUGUGCCAUGUCAAGCUCCAAACGACAACAACAACUUAAUUGUAGUUUGGGGCAGAGCUGACCUGAAGUCAGAAUAUGUCCUUUUGUACCAUGAUGAGUUGAUUGUUCCAGACAACCAGCAUCCAUCUUUUGUGAACCGGACAGAUCUGCAGGACAGACAGAUGAAGGAUGGAGACGUGUCUUUGAUUCUGAAGAGUGUGAACACUGAUGACACUGGAAUGUACGAGUGUUAUGUCAUCCGGGGAUUCAGAAAACGUACGAUUCUCAUCGGCAAAAUCUACCUUUAUGUCGUUCCUCCAGGUCACAAAGGAGGAGACAUAGAGGAUGGAUCUGUUGGACUGAUCCUUCGUCUGUCAGUUCCUGCUGUGGUUCUGGUGUUAAUUAUCCUUAAACUACAUAAACAUUGUGCGACAUUUUGAAAGCUGUGAUCCAUAGUUGCAGGGGGGCUGAUCAGGCAGAUUUUAUUCACUUUAAGUACAAAUGUAAUAUAAAAUCAUAUACUGGAUAUCAUAUGUAUACCAUGUGAUAUCACAUGUCUGAUCCAAAGGUAUUUCACAUCAAUAUUUCGAGUCUCUGGAAGUAUCCAGAUGGCUGAUUCUGAUUCAGUUGGGAAUAUUCCUGCUACAAGGGAGUUCUACCUCCCCAUUUUCACCAAGACCUGCUUGAAGAGGAUCCUUUGAUUUUUGGAGUUUUCUCUCUUACAUUGUUGGUCUUUACCUAACAGUGGCACUGUAAACUAUCAUGACAACAUACUGUUGUUGUGAUCACACUUCAUAAACAACACUCAACUGAAUAGAUGUGAAUUAUCUACAAAAUCAAAUCUUCUCAUCACUGUUUUUCAAAGGAAAUGCAGAGUUUCAGAAAGUGUUAAUAAAGAGAGCUGUGAGAUACUCCUCAAACUGCUACAUCUUGUCUGCGAGUGAGAGUGAAACUACUGAUCUCAUCCUCCAUAGAUAGACAGAGGUGUUUGAAUAUAAUACUAAAGAAAACUCCUUUUGCUUUACUUUGAAGUGCGUUAAAUCUUUCUUUUUUAAGUGUUGCCAAGGUAAAGGGAAUGAGCUGCCUUGUGCGUUAGACAUGUAAUGUUUACACAAUGCUAUUUGAUGUGUUUCCAUUUCCAAAUAAA
Oreochromis aureus is the source of this 1436-nucleotide long non-coding RNA. The record is from Ensembl. NCBI's taxonomy places the organism in Eukaryota, Metazoa, Chordata, Actinopteri, Cichliformes, Cichlidae.